Molecule: long non-coding RNA, 2715 nt
Filed under: Malus domestica (apple)
Lineage: Eukaryota; Viridiplantae; Streptophyta; Magnoliopsida; Rosales; Rosaceae
Description: long non-coding RNA (MDOM_LNC008355)
Source: RNAcentral
UAUCAAAUAACGAACCUGAGUUUUGUUGGGUAGAUUGUGAUUGAGGUUGAGAUUGUGCGAAUGGCCUUUGAUAUAUCCCCGUGGGUGGCUGUCAAAAUCCUCCUUGAUGUUGAGGUUGUUGAUGCUCCCUCCACUUGAAGUUUGGGUGAUCUCUCCAUCCCGGAUUGUAUGUAUUUGAGUAUAGAUCAUUCCUUUGCUAAUUUUGCCCUUGAUAACCUAUGGCAUUGGCACUUUCCCAUCCUCUAUUCUCUAUCAAUUAAGGGCAUUGAUCAUUGAGGUGCCCUUGCAUAGAGCACACGCCACAUACACUUGGUGUAAUUCCUUGCACUUUGCAUCCUUCGGCAACCUGAGAUACAAGCAUAGUGAGGUUAGCUAAUUGAGAUUGAAUUUCGGCUAUUGAACUUACCCUAUGGACUUGCUGCCAUGGGAUGUCUCUUUGUCCAACACCUUCGUAUUGUUGUGCAUUCAAGGCUUGGUUUGCAAUUAAGAUCUUGGUAGCCAUCGGUGUUUUGUCAACCAAAACACCCAUUGCCGAGGCAUUUAACAUUUGUCUCUCAAUUGGAAGGAGUCCCUCAUAGAAAUAUUGCAGCAAAAGUUCUUCCUUCAUUUGAUGUUGAGGGCACGAGGCAACUAGAGCCUUGAAACGGUCAUAAUAUGCUAGAAAGGAUUCACCUUGGCUUUAUUAAAUGUCACUAAUCUUCUUCCUCAAAAGAAUGACUCUCGAAGUUGGGAAUAAUUUCUCUAAGAAUGCCCUCUUCAUGCUUUCCCAAGAAGUGACGGUUCCAGGUGCUAAUUCAUAGAGCCAAUCUUUAGCCUUGUCCAUAAGAGAGAAUGGAAAGGUUUUCAUCUUCAAAAUAUUCCCAUCGACAUUGAUGGGUGUCAUGCUCAAACAUACCACUUCAAACUCCUUAAGAUGCUUGUUUGGAUCUUCCAUGGACAACCCAUGGUAUUUGGGAAUGUGAUGCAACAAGCUAGACUUCAAUUCGAACUCAUCGACCUUUCCUUAGGUUGCCACGGGGUAUUGAAUGCAAAGGUGCACGACAUUGUCCAACCCCGAGGCUGAAAGUUCUUUGAUCGUACGAUUGUCCGCUACCAUGACUUGCUCUUCUUCUUCUUUUUCCUCAAAUUCAGAUUCGGCAUCUGAACUUGAACUAGGUGGAUUAGGUUCUGGUUGCUUCCUCUUUCUUCUGAAAGUUUUUUCAAAAUCGUCGUCGAACUCCAAGAUGUUUGCACUAAUAAGUUGAGAACUACGAGUCAUAAACUAGUACUUGAAACAAGAAAAAAAAACGACUCAACAACCAAGUGAAGGGUACGGUAGAAACACACACAAACACACUUUGACACUAAAUUAAAACACAAAGACACACGACAUAAACAAGGGAGAUUAGCAAGUUUGCUAAUCCCCGGCAAUGGCGCCAAAAUUUGAUGUGAAAUUUAACUAGCACUCAAAUUAAACUCUCUUAUUGACAAUUGUAGUAAAGAUGUAGGUAAGGAUCGUUCUAGGUAGGGGAUUAGGAGAGAUUGCUAAUCUACUUAAAGUGACUCAAAAACACUAAACUAGGCUUGAAAACACUUAGACUCAAAGAACUCAAAACAAACUAAAAAGACUCAAAAUAGCACAAAACAAUCAAAUAGACUCAAACUAGACACUAGAGGGUAAUUGGACGAAAAUUGAUUUUAACUUGACUCAAAACACUUAAAAACACUAAUUGGACAGAUUCUAACUAACUUGACACAGAGAAGUAAAGGGGAUUGGGUUUUUGAUGAAUUUAAAGUAAAGACAAGUAAAUUAAAAACUUAAGCAAAUUUAGCACGAAUUUGGGGGGAAAUAUGGGUGAUUGGCUAGCUAGAAGGUUUUUCUCCACACAUGACACACUUGCAUACAAAUCGAUUUCCAGUUGCUUUUCCAAUAAACCAUGAACCUCAACGCCCCAGGUUAACCGUGAACAGCACUAAUUAACCCUCAGAUUUUCCUUAAGUCAUUGAAUUUGAUGGAUAAUGCAUCGACAACCAAAUUAUUCUUCAAUAGUUCCCUAAAUGACAACAUAAUAGAGAUACAAUCAAAGAUCAUUAAGCUUUUUGAAAAUCAUAAGCAUUGACAAGGCAUUCGUAACUAUGACAGCAUGAUACUCCAGCCAGGAAUUCACUUAACACGAUUGUGAUUAGCAACCUCCACUACUUGUGAAUAUAAGUUCAUAACUAUUAGGUGAAAUUCCCUUAUAUUCUAGCAUCAAAUCCUUGCAUGUAAACUAAGUGUUCACCCUUAAUUGACAAACAAGAAUAAGUUUUGAAUCAAACAGUUAAGUAAAUUGCAUUCACGAUUCAUGAAAUAACAACUGGAAGUAAUCAAUUCAUAUUGCAAAUAUGUUCAUGGCUUUGAAUUUUCCCUAGCUAAAACGAGUUUAGCUCCUCAUGUUUGCAAUUAAAUAAAGACAAUUAAAUAUAAACAUUGAAACAACGGAUAGAAUACACCUAGAAACACUCCGACAAUCCAACAUCUUGAAUGGCAAGCACAGCUCCAGGGGUCUCCUCUCUUAUCUCCUUGCAAAGUUGCGGCACAAUGGGAUGAAUGUGUAUGAGGGAUGUAUGGGACGAAUUUUUUGGUGAAUGGUGGGUGGUUUCUGAUUGCUGCAGCACUUUAUAUUUAUAGGAAGAGAAGGAUGCAAGACAUAGGCUGAAAAGGAGGAGAAUUAGGACUCCAAAUCAUCAAGGAAU